AGAGUUUGAUCAUGGCUCAGGAUAAACGCUGGCGGCGUGCCUAACACAUGCAAGUCGAACGCGCUGAGCAAUCAGCGAGUGGCGGACGGGUGAGUAACACAUAGGUAACCUACCCCGAAGUGAGGAAUACCGGCGAGAAAUCGCCGACAAGACCGCAUAGGCUUCGCGAGAAGCAAAGUCGCAAGACGCUUUGGGAUGGGCCUGUGGCCGAUUAGCUGGUUGGUGGGGUAAUGGCCUACCAAGACGACGAUCGGUAGCUGGUCUGAGAGGAUGAUCAGCCACACUGGGAUUGAGAACGGCCCAGACUCCUACGGGAGGCAGCAGUGAGGAAUUUUCGGCAAUGGGCAAAAGCCUGACCGAGCAACGCCGCGUGCAGGACGAAGGUCUUCGGAUCGUAAACUGCUUUUCUCGGGGAAGAGAACGGACGGUACCCGAGGAAGAAGCCUCGGCUAACUACGUGCCAGCAGCCGCGGUAAGACGUAGGAGGCAAGUGUUGUCCGGAGUUACUGGGCGUAAAGCGCCCGCAGGCGGUCUGUUAAGUUCAGGGUGACAGUCAUCAGCUUAACUGGUGAAGUGUCUUGAAAACUGACGGACUUGAGGACCAGAGAGGGACCUGGAAUUCCGGGUGGAGCAGUGAAAUGCGUAGAG
Molecule: ribosomal RNA, 648 nt
Filed under: uncultured soil bacterium
Lineage: Bacteria
Description: bacterial SSU rRNA
Rfam family: Bacterial small subunit ribosomal RNA
Source: RNAcentral